GUAGGUGGCGAGCGUUGUCCGGAUUUAUUGGGUUUAAAGGGUGCGUAGGCGUCCUGACAAGUUUUAGGUGAAAUGCCCAGGCUUAACCUGGGAGCUGCCUGAAAAACUGUUGGGAUUGAGUACAGACGAGGUAGGCGGAAUUGACGGUGUAGCGGUGAAAUGCAUAGAUAUCGUCAGGAACACCGAUAGCGAAGGCAGCUUACUAGACUGUAACUGACGCUGAGGCACGAAAGUGUGGGGAUCAAACAGGAUUAGAUGCCCUGGUAGUCCACACUGUAAACGUUGAUGACUCGCUGUGUGCGAUAUACAGUACGCGGCUAAGCGAAAGCGAUAAGUCAUCCACCUGGGGAGUACGCCGGCAACGGUG
RNAcentral lists this ribosomal RNA (367 nucleotides) under uncultured bacterium. RNAcentral describes it as "bacterial SSU rRNA". It matches the Rfam family "Bacterial small subunit ribosomal RNA", at positions 527 to 896 of the family's 1533-position model. The record is from RNAcentral.